This 531-nucleotide ribosomal RNA is filed under the name Datonychidius tener. Its description in RNAcentral is "partial 16S ribosomal RNA". It matches the Rfam family "Bacterial large subunit ribosomal RNA", at positions 1809 to 2611 of the family's 2925-position model. Lineage: Eukaryota; Metazoa; Arthropoda; Insecta; Coleoptera; Curculionidae. The record is from RNAcentral.
AAAAACAUGGCUUUUUGACUAAAUAAUUUAAAGUCUAACCUGCUCAAUGAAAUUUAAAUAGCCGCAGUAUUUUAACUGUGCAAAGGUAGCAUAAUCAUUAGUUUCUUAAUUAGAAGCUGGAAUGAAGGGUUGAAUGAGAAAAUAGCUGUCUCUGUAAAAAUUUUAUAGAAUUUUAUUUUUAAGUCAAAAAGCUUAAAUUUAAGUAAAAGACGAGAAGACCCUAUAGAGUUUUAUAUUUAUAGAUAAUAUUAUUUUUAGUAUUUUAAAAUUUAUUAUUUUAUAGUAUUUAGUUGGGGUGAUUAGAAAAUUAGUUAAACUUUUCUUUUAUUAGAGAACAUUUAUUUAUGAAAAAAUGAUCCUUUAGUUAGAUUAUAAGAUUAAAUUACCUUAGGGAUAACAGCGUAAUUUUUUUUGAGAGUUCUUAUCGAAAAAAAAGAUUGCGACCUCGAUGUUGGAUUAAAAUAAAUUUUUGGUGUAGAAGCUAAAUUAAUUAGGUCUGUUCGACCUUUAAAAUUUUACUUGAUCUGAGUU